CGAUAGCGUAUAUUAAAGUUGUUGCAGUUAAAAAGCUCGUAGUUGGAUUUGUGGUUCGUCCCGCCGGCUGGGUCAUUGACCUUUGCUGUGCUGGUCGUCCAUCCUUGGGUGGAAUCUGUGUGGCAUUAGGUUGUCGCGCAGGGGAUGCCCAUCGUUUACUGUGAAAAAAUUAGAGUGUUCAAAGCAGGCUUAUGCCGUUGAAUAUAUUAGCAUGGAAUAAUGAUAUAGGACCUUGGUACUAUUUUGUUGGUUUGCGCACUGAGGUAAUGAUUAAUAGGGACAGUUGGGGGUAUUCGUAUUCCAUUGUAAGAGGUGAAAUUCUUGGAUUUUUGGAAGACGAACUACUGCGAAAGCAUUUACCAAGGAUGUUUUCAUUAA
This 378-nucleotide ribosomal RNA is filed under the name uncultured eukaryote. RNAcentral describes it as "partial 18S ribosomal RNA". It matches the Rfam family "Eukaryotic small subunit ribosomal RNA", at positions 592 to 976 of the family's 1831-position model. The record is from RNAcentral.